RNAcentral lists this ribosomal RNA (253 nucleotides) under uncultured bacterium. RNAcentral describes it as "partial 16S ribosomal RNA". It matches the Rfam family "Bacterial small subunit ribosomal RNA", at positions 524 to 776 of the family's 1533-position model. The record is from RNAcentral.
UACAGAGGUCCCGAGCGUUGUUCGGAUUCAUUGGGCGUAAAGGGUGCGUAGGCGGUCUUCUAAGUUUGAUGUGAAAUCCCGGGGCUUAACCCUGGAAUUGCAUUGAAUACUGGAGGACUUGAGUACCGGAGAGGAAACUGGAAUUUACGGUGUAGCAGUGAAAUGCGUAGAGAUCGUAAGGAAGACCAGUGGCGAAGGCGAGUUUCUGGACGGUAACUGACGCUGAGGCACGAAGGCCAGGGGAGCAAACAGG